RNAcentral lists this ribosomal RNA (253 nucleotides) under uncultured bacterium. RNAcentral's name for it is "partial 16S ribosomal RNA". It matches the Rfam family "Bacterial small subunit ribosomal RNA", at positions 524 to 776 of the family's 1533-position model. The record is from RNAcentral.
UACGAAGGGGGCUAGCGUUGUUCGGAAUCACUGGGCGUAAAGGGCGCGUAGGCGGCUUUAUAAGUCGGGGGUGAAAGCCUGUGGCUCAACCACAGAAUUGCCUUCGAUACUGUAGAGCUUGAGACCGGAAGAGGUAAGUGGAACUGCGAGUGUAGAAGUGAAAUUCGUAGAUAUUCGCAAGAACACCAGUGGCGAAGGCGGCUUACUGGUCCGGUUCAGACGCUGAGGCGCGAAAGCGUGGGGAGCAAACAGG